Molecule: transfer RNA, 73 nt
Filed under: Toxocara canis (dog roundworm)
Lineage: Eukaryota; Metazoa; Nematoda; Chromadorea; Rhabditida; Toxocaridae
Rfam family: tRNA
About the family: Transfer RNA (tRNA) molecules are approximately 80 nucleotides in length. Their secondary structure includes four short double-helical elements and three loops (D, anti-codon, and T loops).
Source: Rfam by way of RNAcentral
GCCUUCUUAGCUCAGUCGGUAGAGCAUCAGAGCUUUAGUGUCAGGGUUCUGGGUUCGAUUCCCACAAAAGGCG